Molecule: long non-coding RNA, 366 nt
Organism: Aegilops tauschii subsp. strangulata
Lineage: Eukaryota; Viridiplantae; Streptophyta; Magnoliopsida; Poales; Poaceae
Source: RefSeq, a predicted model, not a curated record
CCCCACCCCACACAACCAAUCGCCCUCAUUCUCCUCCACUCACCCGAGCUCAAGCCUUCUCCCCCUCUCUUCCUCACUCAAGGGCCUUCCAAAUCUCUCUCAUUUGCUUGAGAUUUGUCCGGUGGAUCCAGAGCACUUUCAUCACCCAAGGAUGGGACCGAUCACCUUCUUUGAGACUUCUGCGGAGGUGGCGGCAAAGCGUGAACGCGAAGUCAUUGAGGAAAAGAUGAAGCCGUGGGUCGAAGUCGUCUAUGUGUUGAAUACGGCUUGUAGAGACUUUUAAAGUACUAUGUGUCCAAGUGCGACGACAAUGAGAAGAUGUACGAAGCUAAAGAGAAAAAAGAUAAGCAAGAGAAAUUUCAUAGA